AUAAAGAUCUCGCGAGAAACGUGCAAUUCAACGAAUUAACCAACUUGAGUUCUUCAACGUUAGCAGAAAUUCGAUUUGGAUCGCUAGCAGCUAAACGAUCAGCAUCGGCAGACUGCCCGGCAGAUUAUACGAUUACGAGUUAUGUCAGCGAAAAUGGAGUUAUUGGCGCACCAAGCACGGAGCAUAUGCCAUGGAAGAACUUGCCCUGACGUACAUUAAUUUGAUAUUGGAUAACCGUUUCCGUCGUCGGCGCGAACCGACGCGCAACGCGAUUCCGAAGGCGCUA
Molecule: unclassified non-coding RNA, 286 nt
Filed under: Bombus terrestris (buff-tailed bumblebee)
Lineage: Eukaryota; Metazoa; Arthropoda; Insecta; Hymenoptera; Apidae
Description: misc RNA ENSBTSG00005031329.1
Source: RNAcentral